UGUGAGGUAGCUCAGUGUAAAGCACUUGCCUAGCAUAUGCAAGGGCCUGGGUUCACUCCCCAUCACCACAC
Molecule: transfer RNA, 71 nt
Filed under: Marmota monax (woodchuck)
Lineage: Eukaryota; Metazoa; Chordata; Mammalia; Rodentia; Sciuridae
Description: tRNA.Ala
Source: RNAcentral